Molecule: non-coding RNA, 359 nt
Organism: Callithrix jacchus (white-tufted-ear marmoset)
Lineage: Eukaryota; Metazoa; Chordata; Mammalia; Primates; Cebidae
Source: Rfam
GAGCUAGAGAAGGCCCAGAUCAUGUAGAACGUAAUGCUUUUUCACCGACCUGGUGAGGCAGGGAGACAAGCCCCAGGGGGCUCUUGUUUCUGGAGCCAAGCGCCCCAGCUGCACAUUGGCCAGGCGCGGCCCACUCCAGGCACAGUGCCAGAUGAGGAGUUUGACUGGGGCGGUACACCUGUCAAACGGUAAUGCAGGUGUCCUAAGGUGAGCUCAGGAAGGACAGAAAGCUCCUGUGGAGCAGAAGGGCAAAAGCUCACUUUAUCUUGAUUUUCAGUAUGAAUACAGACUGUGAAAGCAGGGUCUCGUGAUCCUUCUGACCUUUUGGGUUUUAAGCAGGAGGUGUCAGAAAAGUUAUC